This 287-nucleotide unclassified non-coding RNA is filed under the name uncultured fungus. RNAcentral's name for it is "partial contains 5.8S rRNA, ITS2 and 28S rRNA". It matches the Rfam family "Eukaryotic large subunit ribosomal RNA", at positions 668 to 961 of the family's 3401-position model. The record is from RNAcentral. Lineage: Eukaryota; Fungi.
AAGGAGUCUAACACAUAUGCGAGUGUGCGAGUGUAGAAACUCAUACGCGUAAUGAAAGUGAAAGGUGCGCAGCGCAAGCAGCAGCAUCGACCGAUCUGGAUCUUUAGUGAUGGAUUUGAGUAAGAGCAUAUAUGUUGGGACCCGAAAGAUGGUGAACUGUGCCUGAAUAGGGCGAAGCCAGAGGAAACUCUGGUGGAGGCUCGUAGCGAUUCUGACGUGCAAAUCGAUCGUCAAAUUUGGGUAUAGGGGCGAAAGACUAAUCGAACCAUCUAGUAGCUGGUUCCUGC